GAUGAACGCUGGCGGCGUGCCUAAUACAUGCAAGUCGAGCGAACAGAUAAGGAGCUUGCUCCUUUGACGUUAGCGGCGGACGGGUGAGUAACACGUGGGUAACCUACCUAUAAGACUGGGAUAACUUCGGGAAACCGGAGCUAAUACCGGAUAAUAUUUCGAACCGCAUGGUUCGAUAGUGAAAGAUGGUUUUGCUAUCACUUAUAGAUGGACCCGGGCCGUAUUAGCUAGUUGGUAAGGUAACGGCUUACCAAGGCGACGAUACGUAGCCGACCUGAGAGGGUGAUCGGCCACACUGGAACUGAGACACGGUCCAGACUCCUACGGGAGGCAGCAGUAGGGAAUCUUCCGCAAUGGGCGAAAGCCUGACGGAGCAACGCCGCGUGAGUGAUGAAGGUCUUCGGAUCGUAAAACUCUGUUAUUAGGGAAGAACAUACGUGUAAGUAACUGUGCACGUCUUGACGGUACCUAAUCAGAAAGCCACGGCUAACUACGUG
Molecule: ribosomal RNA, 497 nt
Filed under: uncultured bacterium
Lineage: Bacteria
Description: partial 16S ribosomal RNA
Rfam family: Bacterial small subunit ribosomal RNA
Source: RNAcentral